CCUACGGGAGGCAGCAGUAGGGAAUCUUCCACAAUGGGCGAAAGCCUGAUGGAGCAACGCCGCGUGGGUGAAGAAGGUCUUCGGAUCGUAAAACCCUGUUGUUAGAGAAGAAAGUGCGUGAGAGUAACUGUUCACGUUUCGACGGUAUCUAACCAGAAAGCCACGGCUAACGACGUGCCAGCAGCGGCGGUAAUACGUAGGUGGGAAGCGUUAUCCGGAUUUAUUGGGGGUAAAGGGAACGAAGGCGGUCUUUUAAGUCCGAUGUGAAAGCGUUCGGCUUAACCGGAGUAGUGCAUUGGAAACUGGGAGACUUGAGUGCAGAAGAGGAGAGUGGAACUCCAUGUGUAGCGGUGAAAUGCGUAGAUAUAAGGAAGAACACCAGUGGCGAAGGCGGCUCACUGGUCUGUAACUGACGCUGAGGUUCGAAAGCGUGGGUAGCAAACAGGAUUAGAUACCCGGGUAGUC
This 465-nucleotide ribosomal RNA is filed under the name uncultured bacterium. RNAcentral describes it as "partial 16S ribosomal RNA". It matches the Rfam family "Bacterial small subunit ribosomal RNA", at positions 338 to 795 of the family's 1533-position model. The record is from RNAcentral.